UGAAAAGCCUUAUAUCAUUCAGGUUUUUAACUCUGACCUAAUAAAUCAUGGUCUCUUCUGAUUUGUAUAUGUUGGCCCUGAAAGAGGCUGUGCCUGCUGUGAUGGUGGUAUAAGAGGUGGACCCAAGUUGAGCAGGGUUUUACCUGUGGCUGAUGCUGCAAAUGGUGGGCAUUUGAUUCGUUAAACUAUGCAGGUUCUAGAAUUUGACAUAUAAUAAGCUGUUCUGAAACAAUUGCAGCAACAAUUGUUGGAGAGGUGAGUUACAGCACAUGGGUCGUGACUGUAGCUGUGAAGUGGUAGCUGAUGAAUUGAUUUGUGUGUGAUUUCGCGAGUAGAAGUACUAACAAAUACCUGUGGCGGGCUGUUGCUGCCCUUCUUGUGGGUCAAGUGGAUAGUACUUGCAGUUUGCUACUCGUGAUAGGUGCCUAGCUUGUUUGCUGAUUUUGUUUUUAGCAAGCAGUGGUUGCCUUUUUUUCUGGGUUCAAGUUGGCAAAGAUGAGCUGUCAUGCUUCGUGGUGAUGGCUGGCUACCUUUGUUGCUGACUGUUGCUUGAAUUGAACCAAAAGAUCUGCCUUGACUUGCACAUCUGUGUAUGAAACAAAUUACGUAUUUUCUCUCUUUCUCUUUUGCCUUCUUAUUUUACCAUGAGAACUUAAUUAUAAGCUUCAUAUAUUGAUGUAUGAAUGAGUGCCAUUUAUCUAUAACGUUUCUUCUACCGUGAUUGUUGGAGACAAAUAUCUAGCAGAUUAACCUUGCUACAGUUAUGGGUAUUGAUGUUAAUCAUCUUCAAACACUUUGUUUAGAAAAAAUAAAUUUGAGGGAAAAAAAGCAAGCAAAGAAUCUAUUAUCAAAUCUAUGUUCUUUUAUGUUAGAAUGUCUAUUUGAUUUAAUUUUACUACAGUUGUGGGUGGAAGAUGUCUGAUGAUUUUACUACAGUUUGGAAUAAAUGAAUUUCAAAAGAAGCUAGUGUAGGAUUUAUUACUAAAUCUAUAUUUUCUUAUUUUUGUAGUGGAUACUUAAAAAUGUUAAUGAAAUGUGAAAUUAAUUCAUUUCAGUUUGGUUGAGUCCCAACAUAUGGGGGUUCAAUACUUUACAAACCCCAUCGGGGCCUUGAAGGAAGAAAUGAAAUGUGAAAUUCAUCUGUUCUGAACUUAGCAGCUCGGAAUUUGAAUUUUAUUUCUGCUUGAUUUUCCAGUGUUUAUGCUGGUCUGUGUUCUAAUUUUUUAUGUUUUGUUGGUAGUUCCUGGUUUAUGAAGCUUCUAUAUUGUAUUGUUUAUUUUUAUUUUUGAACUAGGUUGAAAUGUACGCCUGCAAAAAGAAGAAAAAUGAAACAAAAGAUUGUGGCAAAAUUUGUGUGCCUCUAAUGGAAAAAAGGAAAUUAUCAAAUAAAAGCAUGUUUUCUUUACUCUUUAAGUGGGGAUGGCUCUCUUUGUACUUCUCAAUUUUGCUUGGGUUGCGGAUUUUGCUUUUAUCAACCUGAACACCAGUAAAUUUAUUUACUCACCUUUUCAUGGGUUUUGGUGACGAUAGUUUUGUCUUUGUGUUGUUUUGUUCUGUGAUAUGCCUGUAACCAUGUUUAUUCUCUUUGGAGCAUGACAGAGGCGUGGCCCUGCUACCUCUUAUUUGUUUUGGUACUUGGUAGUUUCUUGUUAUUUUCUCCUUAUAGUUGGUCGUGGGCAUUGAGAGCUCAGUUCCCUUUAGACAUGGUAUAGAUGAAAUCCAAGCAGAUCAGGGUGCAGUUGCCAUAGUGAAUUCAGGGUGCUUUGGAGAUAUGAUUGGCCAAUAUUCUAAGAGGGGAUUCAGGAGCAGUGUGUUUCAAACUGCUGAGCCAGAUGUGAAUGUGGAAUAUGGUCGGGCCGAUCAUUUUCUGUUGCUUGUCUUUUGGGUUUCGGCAGUGCAGUAAGUACACUCUGCAUUGAGUUCUGUGCAGAGAAACAUGGUUACUUCACAAGUAUGCCUAAUUUGUUUUAGCGUUCCAUUUAGAAUUGUUUCUUCUUCCCUUGUAAAAAGAACAUCUUCUAAUUAUAUGUUAAGAAUUGUUUGUGCUUA
Non-coding RNA from Carica papaya (papaya), 2049 nucleotides. The record is from RefSeq and is a predicted model, not a curated record. NCBI's taxonomy places the organism in Eukaryota, Viridiplantae, Streptophyta, Magnoliopsida, Brassicales, Caricaceae.